This 379-nucleotide ribosomal RNA is filed under the name uncultured bacterium. RNAcentral describes it as "bacterial SSU rRNA". It matches the Rfam family "Bacterial small subunit ribosomal RNA", at positions 28 to 408 of the family's 1533-position model. The record is from RNAcentral.
GACGAACGCUGGCGGCGUGCUUAACACAUGCAAGUCGAGCGGUAAGGCCCUUUCGGGGGUACACGAGCGGCGAACGGGUGAGUAACACGUGGGUGACCUGCCCUCAGCUCUGGGAUAAGCCUGGGAAACUGGGUCUAAUACCGGAUAUGACUCCAUGACGCAUGUUGUGGGGUGGAAAGCCUUGUGCGGCUGAGGAUGGGCCCGCGGCCUAUCAGCUUGUUGGUGGGGUGAUGGCCUACCAAGGCGACGACGGGUAGCCGGCCUGAGAGGGCGACCGGCCACACUGGGACUGAGACACGGCCCAGACUCCUACGGGAGGCAGCAGUGGGGAAUCUUGCGCAAUGGGCGAAAGCCUGACGCAGCGACGCCGCGUGAGGGA